This 253-nucleotide ribosomal RNA is filed under the name uncultured bacterium. RNAcentral describes it as "partial 16S ribosomal RNA". It matches the Rfam family "Bacterial small subunit ribosomal RNA", at positions 524 to 776 of the family's 1533-position model. The record is from RNAcentral.
UACGUAGGUGGCAAGCGUUGUCCGGAUUUAUUGGGUUUAAAGGGUGCGUAGGCGGCUCUGUAAGUCAGUGCUGAAAUAUCCCGGCUUAACCGGGAGGGUGGCAUUGAUACUGCGGGGCUAGAGUACAGAUGAGGUAGGCGGAAUUGACGGUGUAGCGGUGAAAUACUUAGAUAUUGUCAAGAACACCUAUAGCGAAGGCAGCUUACUAGGCUGUAACUGACGCUGAGGCACGAAAGUGUGGGGAUCAAACAGG